Molecule: transfer RNA, 74 nt
Filed under: Varanus indicus (Mangrove monitor)
Lineage: Eukaryota; Metazoa; Chordata; Lepidosauria; Squamata; Varanidae
Description: tRNA-Asn
Source: RNAcentral
UAGGCAGAAGCCCUCUGGUUUGGGCGGCUAGCUGUUAAUUAGUUAAUUACGGGAUCGAGGCCCGUCUGUCUAGG